GCCAACGGCUAUACCACGUUGAAAGCACCAGUUCUCGUCCGAUCACCGAGGCUAAGCAACGUCGGGCGUAGUUGGUACUUAGAUGGGAGACCCCUUGGGCACACUGCAUGCUGUUGGCU
RNAcentral lists this ribosomal RNA (119 nucleotides) under Bemisia tabaci. The record is from RNAcentral. Lineage: Eukaryota; Metazoa; Arthropoda; Insecta; Hemiptera; Aleyrodidae.